Long non-coding RNA from Tarenaya hassleriana, 604 nucleotides. RefSeq lists it as uncharacterized. The transcript is spliced from 2 exons. NCBI's taxonomy places the organism in Eukaryota, Viridiplantae, Streptophyta, Magnoliopsida, Brassicales, Cleomaceae. The record is from RefSeq and is a predicted model, not a curated record.
UUAAUAACCGUUCGGUUGAGAAAAUCCAAUAACCGUUCGGAUUCGGUUCGGUUCGGUUAUUAACCGAAUAACCGUGGUUAUCCGAUCGGUUAUCAGCUUUUUUUUAAUUGUUUUAUCUUUUAUCUAGGGUUAGGUUAAUUAUUUUACUGUCACUUUUACUUUUUCACUUUUCAACAUCUCUCUCUCCUCCAGACUUGCGAAUCGCAAGUUGCGAUUGUCUUCCUUCGACUGCGGUGAGACGCCGUCACCAUCGCCGUCUUCCCUCCGCCGUCAAAGAUCGUCGCCGUCUUCCCUCCAUCGUUGGUGGUGGAUCUCUAUCAUGGCGUCUCCGUCUCCACAGGUUCGUUGCCUCGCAGCCGCAGUCUUUGUAUCAAAUUUGUUUAUUAGUUUGGCUCUCUCAGGCUCUGCCAUGGCUCCGUCCGUCUCUGUCAGUCUCUAUCGAGAUUCUGUUUUUAGUGUAUUUCGGUGUCUUUCGGUGUGUUUCGACUUUCGACUUUCAUUUGUUUUAUCGAUUCUAUCGAAUCUGUUAUUGAUUAAUUAGUAUCGUUUGGUAUGAUAUGUUUUGUAGUGAAGUUUGUUUGUGAAGAUUUUCAGAUUUGAGAGA